Molecule: ribosomal RNA, 442 nt
Filed under: uncultured bacterium
Lineage: Bacteria
Description: partial 16S ribosomal RNA
Rfam family: Bacterial small subunit ribosomal RNA
Source: RNAcentral
CCUACGGGAGGCAGCAGUGGGGAAUAUUGGGCAAUGGGCGCAAGCCUGACCCAGCAACGUCGCGUGAAGGAAGAAUGCUCUCUGGUUUUUAACUUCCUUUUACAGGGAAGAGUAGAAGACCGUGUCUGUCGAAUAAGCGACUGCUAACUACGUCCCAGCAGCCACGGUCAUACGUAGGUGGCAAGCGAUUACCGGAUUUACUGGGUGGAAAGGGCGUGUUGCCGGGUUGACAAGUCAGAUGUGAAAUCCUGCGGCUUAACCGCAGAACUGCAUUUGAUACUGGCGAUCUUGAGUACUGGAGAGGCAGGCGGAAUUCGUGGUGUAGCGGUGAAAGGCGUAGAUAUCAGGAAGAACACCGAUGGCGAAGGCAGUUUACUGGACAGCAACUGACGGUGAGGCGCGAAAGCGUGGGUAGCAAACAGGAUUAGAUACCCCUGUAGUC